UACGGAGGGGGCUAGCGUUAUUCGGAAUUACUGGGCGUAAAGCGCACGUAGGCGGCUUUGUAAGUCAGAGGUGAAAGCCCGGAGCUCAACUCCGGAAUUGCCUUUGAGACUGCAUCGCUUGAAUCCAGGAGAGGUGAGUGGAAUUCCGAGUGUAGAGGUGAAAUUCGUAGAUAUUCGGAAGAACACCAGUGGCGAAGGCGGCUCACUGGACUGGUAUUGACGCUGAGGUGCGAAAGCAUGGGGAGCGAACAGG
Molecule: ribosomal RNA, 253 nt
Filed under: uncultured bacterium
Lineage: Bacteria
Description: partial 16S ribosomal RNA
Rfam family: Bacterial small subunit ribosomal RNA
Source: RNAcentral